RNAcentral lists this ribosomal RNA (465 nucleotides) under uncultured bacterium. RNAcentral describes it as "partial 16S ribosomal RNA". It matches the Rfam family "Bacterial small subunit ribosomal RNA", at positions 28 to 507 of the family's 1533-position model. The record is from RNAcentral.
GACGAACGCUGGCGGCGUGCUUAACACAUGCAAGUCGAACGGACAGGCCCUGCUUUCAGGGUACUCGAGUGGCGAACGGGUGAGUAACACGUGGGUGAUCUGCCCUGCACUUCGGGAUAAGCCUGUGCAACUGGGUCUAAUACCGGCUAGGAGCCAUUUUUAGUGUGAUGGUUGGAAAGUUUUUUCGGUUUAGGAUGAGCUCGCGGGCUAUCAGCUUGUUGGUGGGGUAAUGGCCUACCAAGGCGGCGGCGGGUAGCCGGACUGAGAGGGUGGACGGCCACCUUGGGACCGAGGUGCGGCCCAGACUCCUAAGGGAGGGAGCAGUGGGGAAGAUUGACCGAGGGGCGCCAGCCUGAUGCAGAGGCGCCGCGUGGGGGAUGACGGCCUUAGGGUUGUAAAAUACUUUCGCUAGGGACGAAGCUUUUUGUGACGGUACCUAGAUAAGAAGCCCCGGCUAACUACGUG